Molecule: ribosomal RNA, 497 nt
Filed under: uncultured bacterium
Lineage: Bacteria
Description: partial 16S ribosomal RNA
Rfam family: Bacterial small subunit ribosomal RNA
Source: RNAcentral
GAUGAACGCUGGCGGCGUGCCUAAUACAUGCAAGUCGAGCGAACAGAUGAGGAGCUUGCUCCUCUGACGCUAGCGGCGGACGGGUGAGUAACACGUGGAUAACCUACCUAUAAGACUGGGAUAACUUCGGGAAACCGGAGCUAAUACCGGAUAAUAUAUUGAACCGCAUGGUUCAAUAGUGAAAGACGGUUUUGCUGUCACUUAUAGAUGGAUCCGCGCCGCAUUAGCUAGUUGGUAAGGUAACGGCUUACCAAGGCAACGAUGCGUAGCCGACCUGAGAGGGUGAUCGGCCACACUGGAACUGAGACACGGUCCAGACUCCUACGGGAGGCAGCAGUAGGGAAUCUUCCGCAACGGGCGAAAGCCUGACGGAGCAACGCCGCGUGAGUGAUGAAGGUCUUCGGAUCGUAAAACUCUGUUAUUAGGGAAGAACAAAUGUGUAAGUAACUAUGCACGUCUUGACGGUACCUAAUCAGAAAGCCACGGCUAACUACGUG